RNAcentral lists this ribosomal RNA (465 nucleotides) under Vreelandella stevensii. Its description in RNAcentral is "partial 16S ribosomal RNA". It matches the Rfam family "Bacterial small subunit ribosomal RNA", at positions 338 to 795 of the family's 1533-position model. Lineage: Bacteria; Pseudomonadati; Pseudomonadota; Gammaproteobacteria; Oceanospirillales; Halomonadaceae. The record is from RNAcentral.
CCUACGGGUGGCUGCAGUGGGGAAUCUUGGACAAUGGGCGAAAGCCUGAUCCAGCCAUGCCGCGUGUGUGAAGAAGGCCUUCGGGUUGUAAAGCACUUUCAGUGGGGAAGAAAGCCUUGGGGCUAAUACCCUCGAGGAAGGACAUCACCCACAGAAGAAGCACUGGCUAACUCCGUGCCAGCAGCCGCGGUAAUACGGAGGGUGCGAGCGUUAAUCGGAAUUACUGGGCGUAAAGCGCGCGUAGGCGGUCUGAUAAGCCGGUUGUGAAAGCCCCGGGCUCAACCUGGGAACGGCAUCCGGAACUGUCAGGCUAGAGUGCAGGAGAGGAAGGUAGAAUUCCCGGUGUAGCGGUGAAAUGCGUAGAGAUCGGGAGGAAUACCAGUGGCGAAGGCGGCCUUCUGGACUGACACUGACGCUGAGGUGCGAAAGCGUGGGUAGCAAACAGGAUUAGAUACCCGGGUAGUC